AAGACUAUACUUUCAGGGAUCAUCUCUUUAGUAUGUGACUAGAGAAGUUUCUCUGAUCGUGUAGAGCACCUAAAGCCAUGAGGAGGAGCCAGAGGAUCCUCUCCUGAGCGUGAAGCCAGCUCGAGGUGUCGCUUCUGCGGCUGCCUCUUGCCAUUGAUGAUCGUUCUCCCUUUCCUCUGGAGAGGGAAUAGGGAGAGGAUGCAGUCUGAGUGAU
Suncus etruscus (white-toothed pygmy shrew) is the source of this 214-nucleotide small nucleolar RNA. RefSeq annotates it as small nucleolar RNA U3. The transcript has a single exon. NCBI's taxonomy places the organism in Eukaryota, Metazoa, Chordata, Mammalia, Eulipotyphla, Soricidae. The record is from RefSeq and is a predicted model, not a curated record.